CGACCGGCGCACGGGUGAGUAACACGUAUCCAACCUGCCGUCUACUCUUGGACAGCCUUCUGAAAGGAAGAUUAAUACAAGAUGGCACCAUGAGUCCGCAUGUUCACAUGAUUAAAGGUAUUCCGGUAGACGAUGGGGAUGCGUUCCAUUAGAUAGUAGGCGGGGUAACGGCCCACCUAGUCUUCGAUGGAUAGGGGUUCUGAGAGGAAGGUCCCCCACAUUGGAACUGAGACACGGUCCAAACUCCUACGGGAGGCAGCAUG
This 263-nucleotide ribosomal RNA is filed under the name uncultured bacterium. RNAcentral describes it as "partial 16S ribosomal RNA". It matches the Rfam family "Bacterial small subunit ribosomal RNA", at positions 92 to 353 of the family's 1533-position model. The record is from RNAcentral.